UCCCCGCCCGCGCUCACUCCGGGGCAGGCACCGCCAUGCCCAGGUGGUGACACUGAGCAGAGAUAAGGUGUCCUAACAACCGUAUUUGCCUGGAUCCCGGGAAACCCGCGGCCACUCGGCGACUCCCACAUCACCUGCGCGCAUCCCCCCGCGGCUCCACGGAUGCUCCCACUCCACAGACCUGGGCAGCCCAAGGACCCCUCCCGUGGCGACACGGGGUAAGACUGACACCCGCAGCUGCCGACGACCCUGCCAGUCACGCUGCCGCCGGCUGCCUUUUUUAGCCACGACAUCUGACCAGGCUUCCACAGCAGCAUUCACUUUUUACCACAGGACAUACUGUACCCACCCUUUCUGGAUACUGCAAGAAUCACGUGGAUGAACUUCCUUCUGUCAAGCACAAUAAGAAAUAAACCAGCUGGCCAGCA
Molecule: long non-coding RNA, 428 nt
Organism: Felis catus (domestic cat)
Lineage: Eukaryota; Metazoa; Chordata; Mammalia; Carnivora; Felidae
Exons: 2
Source: RefSeq, a predicted model, not a curated record